RNAcentral lists this ribosomal RNA (195 nucleotides) under Enterococcus faecium. RNAcentral describes it as "partial 16S ribosomal RNA". It matches the Rfam family "Bacterial small subunit ribosomal RNA", at positions 1 to 180 of the family's 1533-position model. Lineage: Bacteria; Bacillati; Bacillota; Bacilli; Lactobacillales; Enterococcaceae. The record is from RNAcentral.
UUUUAUGAGAGUUUGAUCCUGGCUCAGGACGAACGCUGGCGGCGUGCCUAAUACAUGCAAGUCGAACGCUUCUUUUUCCACCGGAGCUUGCUCCACCGGAAAAAGAAGAGUGGCGAACGGGUGAGUAACACGUGGGUAACCUGCCCAUCAGAAGGGGAUAACACUUGGAAACAGAUGCUAAUACCGUAUAACAAU